AGGCGGGCGUGAGCGCGGGGUGGGUGGGUGAUACGAGAGAAGGGGCUAGGGGAGGGUACUUGGGAUCGGAGGACCACGGCGGUGGGGAGGGGGCACCAGCCGGAGCUGCUCGUGCCGGAGCUAGGCCGGAGUCAUCCUUCUGGAGCUCGGCUCCUCGCGCCGGAGCUAGCCCUGAGCCGUAGACUUCGUCGCUGCCUCCUCCCCUUUCCUCCCCUCGUCGUCGGUCGUAGUCCCGCCGCCGCUCCCCUCGUAUCCGCCGACGAGACGACGACGACGGUAGGCUGGAAAGGGAGAGGGAGUCAAAGAGUUGAGUCGUACUCCUAGAAUCUGGCUUCGAUGUCCUCCCCCGCGGUGGUUGUACAGAAGGCAGAGGCGCUCGGUUGCUGCUGCUCCUCGAUACCUCUCGGUGGUACCUAAGCGACGAUGUAGUUGCGAAGUAGAGUUCCACAGUGUUGUCUACAAACACAUUUAUGGGCUCUCCUUCUGAAGAACCCCUUCUACAACUAUACAGACAUAGAAGAAAACAAACUUUCCCCGAUCGAAAAUGACACUUAGAGAUCCUGUCAAACCGUGUACUCCGUCAUCUCUACCUAAUCAAUGUUCCUAUAAUCCUCUCUUUUUUUAAACCACUGAAACUGUUCGAACCUAACUGUCUAGUAAGUACGGUACCAACCUACACUUAUCCCGUCACAUGUAGGUUUUAAACAAACCAACUAGUCUGAUAAACAAGCAAACCGACAGAAUUACGUUAUGGUAAACGUAUUUAAAACGUUUGUAGUCGUUUCUAAAGUCGUCGUCCCUCACAAACGGCGUCACCUUUGCUUCGUUCUUGAUCUUCCUCGAGUCCUAAAACGAUGAUGCAACGAUUUCGAAACACUCACUUACCACCUACUAGAACUCUAUUUCCGACCGACCGACAUCUACCAGCGUGAGCGUGGACAUCAUGAUUCCUACCUACAGGACCUGCACUAGAGUUCCGUGCCCGGUUCACAGUCGUACCUCCUGGACCUUGUCAUACUUUCCAAGUUACUCGUUAAGCCGUUCGUCCCAACUAGUACUUCUCUCUCUCUCUCUCUCAUGAGGUGAACAUGACUUCUUUAUGACGUGCUUAUACCAACCAACACGGAACCUUCUUCAACCUAAGCGGCGCAGGGUUCAGCUCUCCAUGGGUAACGCCUAUUAUGAGCAUUUGUUUGUUUAGGUGGCCGCUCUUUACGAAGUAUACGAAGAAAAAAACAAGCCAGCUAAGUCGAAGGACUUAGAACUCACCAAAAGUGGUAACCCUUUAAGUUCGCUGCCUUCCCCAUAGACACGAAAACGUGUUUCCAUAUUGGUAUAUUCACGUUAUAUUCCCGAUUAAUCUUCAUAUAUGACUCUGUUUUGUUCAACGACUCCUUUGACGACGACGUCGACUUCUACGUUUAUUACAAGAGACAUUGGUUCACCUUGCGUUUUCCGUUAAGGAAAGUUAGGUACCUUGUUACACACGCAAUCCGCUAUCGUUCCGGCAGCCUGUUAGUACUACGAUAAAAGAAUAAACUUUAGUCUUACGAUGAUCCUGUCAGAAUUAAAACCUUUUAGUCUAGUUUGUUCUCUAUACUAACUAUGGACCACUAUGUUAACCUCUUUCCCUAUACUAUACAGACCGUUACCAAAUCCUUCUAUGUUAACCACAAGUCUAACAAUCCAUGCUCCUAGUAGUCACCGGUACGUCCUCGUUGUUGUCCUCUAUUACGGGUCAAGCACUUAAAUAAGAGAAUCGAAGCUCCGAAGGACGAGUUCCUCCCUCGUCGUCCGUAUCUUCUUUAGGGUUCGGUUAAAACGAGUCGACAUCGUAGAAGGUGACUGUUAUUCAGACGUGUCGUCGUACCAACUACAAGAACGAGUCCUAUUCGGUUGUUACCUCUUUGACUGGUUCGAUAGAAAGUACUAGUCAAUGUGUGCUUCGGAUAUAAAAACGACGAAGAUGUACAACGAUACUACCAAUAAGUCGGGUAAAAGAACUUGGACGUGAUGUUGCUCUCUAGACCCGACGAAGAAACACCGAAGGUUUGAAUUUUACAAACAAACCUUCAAUCGUGAUCAUCUUUUUCCCCGAAAACAGGGCCAACCAUUCCGGGAAAUCAGGGCCAAAAGCUUGGCCCUGAUUUCCCAGCAAUGAUUACGGAGAGGGGAAAUCAGGGCCAAGAAUGUGCUUGGCCCUGAUUUCCCGCGCCGGUGCACCUCGAGGUGGAAAUCAGGACCAACCACAUCCUUUAAAAUACUAAAAAAAUAUUUUUUCAAAAAACUUUUUUUUUAACUUAAAAAAAAUAAAAGUUUAAAGACUUAAUAAAAUUGGAGAUCAGAGAUUAGUGGUGGGGAGUAGUAAAGUUUAGUAGAUUGAAGGACUUGCCAGUGGGUAGGAGGGUGAGGGGGUCGGACUCGUGCGAAUUGAAGGUCCAAGAUAAGAGGGAGCAAAGGUUCAGACGUGAACAACAAAAGGACUGUUAUCAUUCUACAGUUAGGAUAAUUGGAAGUCCUUAAAACGAACUCGUACUUCACUGUGUAAAGUGACAAACUCAAACUUUGAUAACAAAAUUUUUUGUUAUUAAUAAAUCAUUGUGAUUAUAAAGAACUUAUUAAUCAAACUGGUAACAAACUGGUGUCAAACUGGUCUAAACUGGUUUUAAGUUUUAUUGACUUUAUUAAUAAAUCAUUGUGAUUAUAAGAUCUUAUUAAUCAAACUGGUAACAAACUGGUAUCAAACUGGUGACAAACUGGUCUAAACUGGUGUAAAAAAGGUUUUUUUUAAACUUUGAUAUAAAAAAAGACAAUGAUCACCGCGUGGAUCGUUUACCACGCGGUGAUCAUUCAAACUUUAAAAAAGCUAAAAAAGGUGAGAUCUAGAAUUUUCGGGGCAUUGAAAAAGACAAUCCAAAAACUCCUAAAACUUUUACAAAUUGCCCCAAGGGGAUCAAUUUAAGAAUACAUUGAAAAGCUCAUCUACUAAAAAGUAUAUUUUUUGAAAAAUUAGGCUCAAGCAUACGUUUUCAAUACGGGUAAAAUGUUUAAGGUCUCUCUAAAACGUUUAUUUCAGCUUUAAGUAUAAACAUUAAAAAG
Molecule: ribosomal RNA, 3099 nt
Filed under: Triticum aestivum (bread wheat)
Lineage: Eukaryota; Viridiplantae; Streptophyta; Magnoliopsida; Poales; Poaceae
Description: partial small subunit ribosomal RNA
Source: RNAcentral